RNAcentral lists this transfer RNA (76 nucleotides) under Azonexus sp. RNAcentral describes it as "tRNA-Lys". It matches the Rfam family "tRNA". Rfam says of the family: Transfer RNA (tRNA) molecules are approximately 80 nucleotides in length. Their secondary structure includes four short double-helical elements and three loops (D, anti-codon, and T loops). Further hydrogen bonds mediate the characteristic L-shaped molecular structure. tRNAs have two regions of fundamental functional importance: the anti-codon, which is responsible for specific mRNA codon recognition, and the 3' end, to which the tRNAs corresponding amino acid is attached (by aminoacyl-tRNA synthetases). tRNAs cope with the degeneracy of the genetic code in two manners: having more than one tRNA (with a specific anti-codon) for a particular amino acid; and 'wobble' base-pairing, i.e. permitting non-standard base-pairing at the 3rd anti-codon position. The record is from RNAcentral. Lineage: Bacteria; Pseudomonadati; Pseudomonadota; Betaproteobacteria; Rhodocyclales; Azonexaceae. RNAcentral also lists the same sequence under 3 other names.
GGGGCGCUAGCUCAGUUGGUAGAGCAGCGGACUCUUAAUCCGUAGGUCCAGAGUUCGAAUCUCUGGCGCCCCACCA